CCUACGAGUGGCUGCAGUGAGGAAUAUUGGUCAAUGGGCGGAAGCCUGAACCAGCCAAGUCGCGUGAGGGAAUAAGGCCCUACGGGUCGUAAACCUCUUUUGCCGGGGAGCAAGGGCCGGGACGCGUCCCGGCCCGGAGAGUACCCGGAGAAAAAGCAGCGGCUAACUCCGUGCCAGCAGCCGCGGUAAUCCGGAGGAUGGGAGGGUUAUCCGGCUUUAUGGGGUUUAAAGGGUGCGUAGGCGGGCGUUUAAGUCAGCGGUAAAAAUUCGGGGCUCAACCCCGUCCUGCCGUUGAAACUGGGGGCCUUGAGUGGGCGAGAAGAAGGCGGAAUGCGUGGUGUAGCGGUGAAAUGCAUAGAUAUCACGCAGAACCCCGAUUGCGAAGGCAGCAUACCGGUGCACAACUGACGCUCAGGCACGAAAGCGUGGGUAUCGAACAGGAUUAGAUACCCGGGUAGUC
Molecule: ribosomal RNA, 460 nt
Filed under: uncultured bacterium
Lineage: Bacteria
Description: partial 16S ribosomal RNA
Rfam family: Bacterial small subunit ribosomal RNA
Source: RNAcentral